AUGACGCCGGUGGUUCAUUGCUCUGUUGGCACCAUCAGCCUGUUCCACAUAGGCAGUUUCAGGCCCAGCCGAGAAAUCCAGAUAAGAAGGUUCCGUGGUUCAGAGAGGUAUUCGAGAGUCACAUCGCCCUCGCGCCAUGGGCUGCUGCAGCCACAGACACCAUUCCACCUGAUCAGCAUCUACAAAAGAAGCUGGUCCUCUGCCAACAACAGGCUAAGGACCUUGUCAGCAGCAGCUGUUGGGACCGAUGUCACGGUGGAGGGUUCGGCAUCUCCGUCAGGAGAAACCUCCGAGGCCGCACCUGCCGCUGCUGAAACUACUGGGCAGGCUGUGGCUAGCAAGAGCCCGGCUUCCUCCCCUCCCAAGUUAGGCCGCAACCCACGUAAGAGCGAGAUGCCUCCGUUGAAGGAUGGUGAUCUAGUUCCUGGUGCAUCCUUUACUGGGAAAGUCAGGUCUAUCAAGCCAUUUGGAGUCUUUGUUGACAUUGGAGCAUUCACUGAAGGCCUUGUUCAUAUCUCCCGAGUAAGUGACGGUUUUGUGGAAGAUAUAUCUACCCUCUUCACUGUUGGGCAAGAGGUGUCAGUGAAAUUAGUGGAAGUAAAUAAAGAAACAAGGCGCAUCUCCUUGACAAUGCGGACAGGUGGAGAUUAUGUCAAGGAAGCACCUACGGCUCCAAGCGGUGGGAGGAGUCCAACUGCAGCUGCGCCUAGAAGCUCACCAAGGCAAACAAAGGAUUUCAAGAAGAUAGACGAGGCAAAGUAUACACGAGGACAAUCUCUGACUGGCACUGUGAAAAAUACGACAAGAACAGGGUCAUUUGUGACACUGCCUGAUGGAGAAGAAGGAUUCCUCCCAAGGGAAGAGGAAGCAGCAGCACUGUUCACCCUUAUCGGGCAUUCCGCACUGGAAGUUGGUCAAGAGGUAACGGUGAAAGUAUUGAAUGUAGCACGAGGCCAGGUCACAUUGACAAUGAAGGGGGGAGAAGAUGAUGACGAUGAGUUGUCGUCGUUAAACACCAACCUGAAGCAGGGAUGGUCCAGAGGGACCAACGCUUUCGAGUUAGCUUUCCGUAGGAGCAAGGAAAUCUCUGCAUUCUUGGACCAGAGGGAAAAGGUUACGGCUCCAGAAGUGAAAACAGAAGUUGAGACUGAGACUUCAGUUUCAACUUCUGGGGUUGAAAGCGCAAUUGAUGACAAGCUCGUUGAGCCUCCUACUGAAGUUGAAAGCAAAGAGGAUAGUUCUUUAACAGAAACUGUCACUGGCACCGUUGAGCCUCCUACAGUUUCUGCUACUGAAGUUGAAACCAAAGAGGAGGACAGCGCUUCAACAGAAGCUGUCACUGGCGCCAUUGAGCCUCCUACAGUUUCUGCUACUGAAGUUGAAACCAAAGAGGAGGAUAGCCCUUCAACAGAAGCAGUCACUGGUGCCGUUGAAGAAAUCACUCCUGUUGAUAAGGCUGAGGAGCCAGAAGAAUCAGUACAGGAGGUUCCUACAACUGCAAGUAGUGAGUCUGCUGUGGUAACUGAGGAAGUAGCAGCCUCGGAUGAGAAAACCACAGAGGUUUCUGCUGCUGCAGCUGCAGAAGCAAGCACAACCACAGCAACUAUUUCUCCUGCUCUUGUCAAGCAGUUACGUGAUGCAACUGGAGCAGGCAUGAUGGACUGCAAAAAGGCUCUUGCUGAAUCGAGUGGUGACAUUGAUAAAGCUCAAGAAUUCCUCCGGAAGAAAGGGCUAGCUGCUGCUGACAAGAGGGCUGGAAGAGCCACUGCGGAGGGAAGAAUUGGUUCUUACAUACAUGACAGCAGAAUCGGUAUCCUUAUUGAAUUGAACUGUGAGACUGACUUUGUAUCACGAGGUGACGUCUUUAAGGAGUUGGUCGAUGAUCUUGCCAUGCAAGCUGCUGCUUGCCCUCAAGUAAAUUACAUUUCCAUUGACGAUGUCCCGGAGGAGGUUGUGAAGAAGGAGACGGAGUUGGAGAUGCAGAGGGAGGACUUGCUGUCGAAGCCUGAGCAGAUCCGUGCUAAGAUUGUCGAGGGCCGAGUAAAGAAGAGGCUUGGAGAAUUUGCAUUGCUUGAACAACCAUUCAUCAAGAAUGACAAGGUCACAACCGGUGAAUGGGUGAAGCAAACUAUUGCUACAAUCGGAGAGAACAUGAAGGUGAGGAGGUUUGUUCGGUACAACCUGGGAGAAGGGUUGGAGAAAAAAAGCCAGGAUUUUGCUGCUGAAGUUGCAGCCCAGACAGCCGCGAAACCACCACCAGCUGCUCCUGUGAAGGAUGACAAGCCUGAGGAAUCGGUUGAAGCUGCAGAGAAGAAACCAGCUGUGGCAAUUUCAGCUGCAUUGGUAAAGCAACUCCGAGAUGAAACUGGCGCUGGUAUGAUGGACUGCAAGAAAGCGCUGGCUGAGACUGGGGGUGACCUUCAGGGGGCUCAGGAGUUCCUCAGGAAAAAGGGCCUCUCGUCCGCAGACAAGAAGUCGUCUCGCCUGACCGCUGAAGGUCUGAUUGGCUCAUACAUCCACGACAACCGCAUAGGAUGCAUGAUUGAAAUCAACUCUGAGACUGACUUCGUGGCUCGCAAUGAGAAAUUCAAGGAGCUGGUGAAUGACCUCGCAAUGCAAGUGGUGGCAUGCCCACAGGUUGAAUAUGUCUCAAUGGAGGACAUACCAGAGAGUGUUGUCAGCAAGGAGAAGGAGAUUGAGAUGCAGAGGGAGGACCUGCAGUCGAAACCCGAAAACAUCAGGGAGAAGAUUGUGGAAGGGCGGAUAUCAAAGAGGCUUGGAGUGAUGGCCCUCCUGGAGCAGCCCUUCAUCAAGGAUGACAGCAAGACGGUGAAGGAUCUCGUUAAGGAGACGAUCGCCGGCCUGGGGGAGAACAUCAAGGUACGGAGGUUUGUCAGGCUCAACAGUAUCCCUAAGAUUUACAUGCUACAAACAAGAUGUUCCACUACAUGUUCAUGUGAGUUACAAGAGCUUCCACAUCCAGCGCAAUUCAGACAGCCCGCAUGCUCUCCCGCCCGACGUUAA
RNAcentral lists this ribosomal RNA (3024 nucleotides) under Triticum aestivum (bread wheat). RNAcentral's name for it is "partial small subunit ribosomal RNA". Lineage: Eukaryota; Viridiplantae; Streptophyta; Magnoliopsida; Poales; Poaceae. The record is from RNAcentral.